UACGUAGGGUGCAAGCGUUAAUCGGAAUUACUGGGCGUAAAGGCGUGCGCAGGCGGUUAUGUAAGACAGUUGUGAAAUCCCCGGGCUCAACCUGGGAACGGCAUCUGUGACUGCAUAGCUAGAGUACGGUAGAGGGGGAUGGAAUUCCGCGUGUAGCAGUGAAAUGCGUAGAUAUGCGGAGGAACACCGAUGGCGAAGGCAAUCCCCUGGACCUGUACUGACGCUCAUGCACGAAAGCGUGGGGAGCAAACAGG
Molecule: ribosomal RNA, 254 nt
Filed under: uncultured bacterium
Lineage: Bacteria
Description: partial 16S ribosomal RNA
Rfam family: Bacterial small subunit ribosomal RNA
Source: RNAcentral